Molecule: ribosomal RNA, 249 nt
Filed under: uncultured bacterium
Lineage: Bacteria
Description: partial 16S ribosomal RNA
Rfam family: Bacterial small subunit ribosomal RNA
Source: RNAcentral
UACGGAGGAUCCAAGCGUUUAUCCGGAUUUAUUGGGUUUAAAGGGUGCGUAGGUGGCCUGUUAAGUCAGGGGUGAAAGACGGUAGCUUAACUAUCGCAGUGCCCUUGAUACUGAUGGGCUUGAAUAACUAGAGGUAGGCGGAAUGUGACAAGUAGCGGUGAAAAUGCAUAGAUAUGUCACAGAACACCAAUUGCGAAGGCAGCUUACUAUGGUUUUAUUGACACUGAGGCACGAAAAGCGUGGGGGAUC